UGACGUCGCCAGGGGAGUCUUCGGACUGAGAGUGCGCAGCGAGCGCUGACCCUGGAACCUGAACCGGAUGAUACCGGCGGAGGAAGCGCGACAUGCCAAGCCU
This 103-nucleotide non-coding RNA is filed under the name Spiribacter curvatus. RNAcentral describes it as "TPP sequence". It matches the Rfam family "TPP riboswitch aptamer (THI element)". Rfam says of the family: Vitamin B(1) in its active form thiamin pyrophosphate (TPP) is an essential coenzyme that is synthesised by coupling of pyrimidine and thiazole moieties in bacteria. The previously detected thiamin-regulatory element, thi box was extended, resulting in a new, highly conserved RNA secondary structure, the THI element, which is widely distributed in eubacteria and also occurs in some archaea. Analysis of operon structures identified a large number of new candidate thiamin-regulated genes, mostly transporters, in various prokaryotic organisms. The record is from Rfam by way of RNAcentral. Lineage: Bacteria; Pseudomonadati; Pseudomonadota; Gammaproteobacteria; Chromatiales; Ectothiorhodospiraceae.